GAUGAACGCUAGCGGCAGGCUUAAUACAUGCAAGUCGUGGGGCAGCAGGCCUGUAGCAAUACAGUUGCUGGCGACGGGCAAGCGGGUGAGGAACACGUAAGCAACUUACCCUGAACUGGGGGCUAGCCCGGGGAAACCCGGAUUAAUACUCCGUAAUAUUAUGGAGUGGCGUCGCUUUAUUAUUAAAGCUCCGGCGGUUCGGGAUGGGCGUGCGGCUGAUUAGGUAGUUGGUUGAGGUAACGGCACGCCAAGACUACGAUCAGUAACUCGUGUGAGAGCACGACCAGUCACAGGGGCACUGGCACACGUGCGCCACUCCUACGGCAGGCAGCAGUAAGGAAGAUUGCGGAAGGGAGUAUAGUCUGACCCAGCGAUGCCUGGUGGAGGAUGAAGGCGCUCGGGGUUGUGAACUUCUUUUAGUGGGGACGAAUCCUGUGUAUUCUUGCGCAGGUGACGGUACUCUAUGAAGAAGCACCGGCUAACUCCGUG
This 489-nucleotide ribosomal RNA is filed under the name uncultured bacterium. Its description in RNAcentral is "partial 16S ribosomal RNA". It matches the Rfam family "Bacterial small subunit ribosomal RNA", at positions 28 to 507 of the family's 1533-position model. The record is from RNAcentral.